AUGUCUCUUCUCUGCCCCUGCAUCUGGGACACUUGGUCCACGCAUAGCCUGAUACUGCCAGAGAAUCCAGAGGUGCUGGUGUCAUUCAAGCUAAGAACAGCGGAUCCAAGAAACAGCGGGACAUCCUGCUUAAGAUCUCCAUGGGCAAAAGAAGGAUGCGCUCUCUGUACCUGCGAGCAGCUUGUACAGUAUGCUCAGAAGAAACACGAUAAUAGCCAACAGAUGGCCUCUUCCUGGCACUUUCUUAUCAAGAGCCUUUGA
Molecule: long non-coding RNA, 261 nt
Filed under: Rattus norvegicus (Norway rat)
Lineage: Eukaryota; Metazoa; Chordata; Mammalia; Rodentia; Muridae
Description: long non-coding RNA NONRATT033535
Source: RNAcentral